This 1368-nucleotide ribosomal RNA is filed under the name uncultured bacterium. RNAcentral describes it as "bacterial SSU rRNA". It matches the Rfam family "Bacterial small subunit ribosomal RNA". The record is from RNAcentral.
AGAGUUUGAUCCUGGCUCAGGACGAACGCUGGCGGCGCGCCUAACACAUGCAAGUCGAACGAGCGAGAGAGAGCUUGCUUUCUCAAGCGAGUGGCGAACGGGUGAGUAACGCGUGAGGAACCUGCCUCAAAGAGGGGGACAACAGUUGGAAACGACUGCUAAUACCGCAUAAGCCCACAGCUCGGCAUCGAGCAGAGGGAAAAGGAGCAAUCCGCUUUGAGAUGGCCUCGCGUCCGAUUAGCUAGUUGGUGAGGUAAUGGCCCACCAAGGCGACGAUCGGUAGCCGGACUGAGAGGUUGAACGGCCACAUGGGGACUGAGACACGGCCCAGACUCCUACGGGAGGCAGCAGUGGGGAAUAUUGCACAAUGGGGGAAACCCUGAUGCAGCGACGCCGCGUGGAGGAAGAAGGUCUUCGGAUUGUAAACUCCUGUUGUUGAGGAAGAUAAUGACGGUACUCAACAAGGAAGUGACGGCUAACUACGUGCCAGCAGCCGCGGUAAAACGUACGUCACAAGCGUUGUCCGGAAUUACUGGGUGUAAAGGGAGCGCAGGCGGGAAGACAAGUUGGAAGUGAAAUCUAUGGGGCUCACCCAUAAACUGCUUUCAAAACUGUUUUUCUUGAGUAGUGCAGAGGUAGGCGGAAUUCCCGGUGUACCGGUGGAAUGCGUAGAUAUCGGGAGGAACACCAGUGGCGAAGGCGGCCUACUGGGCACCAACUGACGCUGAGGCUCGAAAGUGUGGGUAGCANACAGGAUUAGAUACNCUGGUAGUCCACACCGUAAACGAUGAUUACUAGGUGUUGGAGGAUUGACCCCUUCAGUGCCGCAGUUAACACAAUAAGUAAUCCACCUGGGGAGUACGACCGCAAGGUUGAAACUCAAAGGAAUUGACGGGGGCCCGCACAAGCAGUGGAGUAUGUGGUUUAAUUCGACGCAACGCGAAGAACCUUACCAAGUCUUGACAUCCCUUGACGAACAUAGAAAUAUGUUUUCUCUUCGGAGCAAGGAGACAGGUGGUGCAUGGUUGUCGUCAGCUCGUGUCGUGAGAUGUUGGGUUAAGUCCCGCAACGAGCGCAACCCUUACUGUCAGUUACUACGCAAGAGGACUCUGGCAGGACUGCCGUUGACAAAACGGAGGAAGGUGGGGAUGACGUCAAAUCAUCAUGCCCUUUAUGACUUGGGCUACACACGUACUACAAUGGCGUUAAACAAAGAGAAGCAAGACCGCGAGGUGGAGCAAAACUCAGAAACAACGUCCCAGUUCGGACUGCAGGCUGCAACUCGCCUGCACGAAGUCGGAAUUGCUAGUAAUCGUGGAUCAGCAUGCCACGGUGAAUACGUUCCCGGGCCUUGACACACCGCCCGUC